This 508-nucleotide long non-coding RNA is filed under the name Chrysemys picta bellii (western painted turtle). RNAcentral describes it as "lncRNA (ENSCPBG00000007667.1)". Lineage: Eukaryota; Metazoa; Chordata; Testudines; Emydidae. The record is from RNAcentral.
UAUUAUGCGCCUUGCAGGGCCCGGGCGGCUGAGGAGGCGGGGUUUGGACGCCAGGGCGAUGCCCCUUUGCCUGGGAAGCUCAGUAGCAGACAGUCCUCCAGCCUCCUCGGAACCUGCAUGGCGCAGAGAAAAGCCCCGCGCGGUGGGGGGAGGCGCGUGGCGUGUCCCGGUGUCUGCGGCUCUGAGCUUCCCGCAGUUACAAACGGCUGUGGGACGCCUGUUCCUACAAAUCCUGCAAUCCACAACCACCUCCUUCACUUCAGCAGAAAGUUUCUUAGCUCACGGUGCCAGUUCUUACGUCGAAAGAGUCCUGUGUCUACACUGGAGGGUGGAAAAAUUCCCCUUUUCUGAUGUGGUUUUCCCUUCUCUCUGGAAAAACAACCUUUCUAUGGCCAUAGAUAUCCUGCUGCACAAAGAGGAACAACCAGUACAGCCUAAGAUGGAUACCCUUCUACAAAUGGUUGACGUUUCAACUGUGGUUGGUUUUCUUUGUACCCCUCCAUUGUAG